GAUGAAGAACGUAGCGAAAUGCGAUAAGUAAUGUGAAUUGCAGAAUUCAGUGAAUCAUCGAAUCUUUGAACGCACCUUGCGCCCUUUGGCUAUUCCGAAGGGCAUGCCUGUUUGAGUAUCAUGAAAACCUCAACUCUCAUGGCUUGCCAUGAUGAGCUUGGACUCUGGGGGUCUUGCUGGCUUUACGGUCAGCUCCUCUCAAAUAAAUCAGCUUGCCGGUGUUUGGUGGGAUCACAGGUGUGAUAACUAUCUACGCUUGUGGUUUUCCGCAAGGUAACCUUCAGCAAUGGAGGUUCGCUGGAGCUCAUAAAUGUCUCUCCUCAGCGAGGACAGAUUUUGACCGUUUGAUCUCAAAUCAGGUAGGACUACUCGCUGAACUUAAGCAUAUCAAUAAGCGGAGGA
This 402-nucleotide unclassified non-coding RNA is filed under the name soil metagenome. RNAcentral describes it as "partial contains 5.8S ribosomal RNA, internal transcribed spacer 2, and large subunit ribosomal RNA". The stretch from base 1 to 121 matches the Rfam family "5.8S ribosomal RNA", at positions 35 to 154 of the family's 154-position model. The record is from RNAcentral.